CUGGCCGUGGGCGGGCGGCAGCGCCGCCGGCUCUCGGCCGGUGGGGGGCUCGGUCGUGCUCCGGGACCCGUCAACCGGU
This 79-nucleotide transfer RNA is filed under the name Actinoplanes italicus. Its description in RNAcentral is "tRNA-Glu". Lineage: Bacteria; Bacillati; Actinomycetota; Actinomycetes; Micromonosporales; Micromonosporaceae. The record is from RNAcentral.